Molecule: ribosomal RNA, 549 nt
Filed under: uncultured stramenopile
Lineage: Eukaryota
Description: bacterial SSU rRNA
Rfam family: Bacterial small subunit ribosomal RNA
Source: RNAcentral
GAGUUUGAUCCUGGUUCAGGAUGAACGCUGGCGGUAUGCUUUAUACAUGCAAGUCGUACGAGAGUUUUUAACUCAAGUGGCGGACGGGUGAGUAACACGUAAGAAAUUGCCUUUAGGAGGGGGAUAACAACUGGAAACGGUUGCUAAUACCCCAUAUGCUUUUGAGUGAAAUGGAUUUUUCCGCCUAAAGAGAAGCUUGCGGCUGAUUAGCUUGUUGGUAAGGUAAUGGCUUACCAAGGCGACGAUCAGUAUCUGGUUUGAGAGGACGAUCAGGCACACUGGAACUGAGACACGGUCCAGACUCCUACGGGAGGCAGCAGUAGGGAAUUUUCCGCAAUGGGCGAAAGCCUGACGGAGCAAUACCGCGUGAGGGAUGACGGCCUAUGGGUUGUAAACCUCUUUUUUCAGGGAGGAACAAAAUGACGUGUACCUGAAGAAUAAGCAUCGGCUAACUCCGUGCCAGCAGCCGCGGUAAGACGAGGAUGCAAGUGUUAUCCGGAUUCACUGGGCCGUAAAGCGUCUGUAGGUGGGUCAAGUAAGUCAACUGUU